UCUCUUCGCCGACACACCACUUCCUCUCCCGAGCUCUUCGUUUUCCUCCACCCGACGGUGUCGCCCUCCCUCGCGUCGUUCCUCUUCUUCCACGGGUACAAAAGCCCUCGGCCAAGGAAGUUUGCGUCGAUUCUCUUUCCUCUUCCCCCCACUCUCCGCCGACUCACCCCUCACGCCUUCUCCACCGCGAGCACCAUCUUUUUCCCUGACGCGUCGCCAGCAUCGAUCGACGGCUGGCCUCGUGCCCUAGCGUCGGCGCAGAUCCAACACACUCUUCUUGAGCAUGCCCUAGCGUGGAUCCACUGCCCCUCUUCCAAUCCGGAACCGUGCCCUAAUUCCCAUCUCUAGCCUUCGCUAGUUUCACACCUCAGCGCCGCUGUCUCUCUGCUCUAGCGUUGAUCACUGUCGACCCCUGUUCUUCUCCAGCUCGUCGUCGCCAGUCGAGCCUAAAUAUGCUGAUGCGCGCCACUGCCUCCCCCCUCUUCAUUUUUCCGACAGCCGGAUUCACUGCCUUGACAUCUCUCCUUACUACCUGACGGCUGCCGUCAAUCCACUUCGAGCCGGUGAAACCUCAAGUAUUAGCAGGGACACGCUGUGGUGCCCUAGGUCUACCACCCACAAUUUUCCUUCAUCUCCUUCACUGGUGACAACCAGAAAUAAUUCUCUUCCCUAUGCUAGAUCUUUACUGUACAGAUCUGAGGUGUUUUAGGUCAGAGAAAGCAACACCAGGUUGCUCUAGCCACUAUUUUCCGACAGCAAGUACAUCCGGCGGUGACUCAACAAUCGGGCAUUCAGGUUUGGGGCUUUUGGAAUUUGCUGUGUCAAUCCUGCUUCAGCUGAGGACAUCAAGGAAGAGGUUGCUAAGGACUUUGAUUCGAGACGAGCGUCUCGACGUGGGGUCUAUUUCGGAGACGAUCUCCACUUUUUGAGGUUGAGGCCGUCAGGAGGUUCCAGUUGCUAGUCCCCUGGUCACGAGAGUUUACGUGUUAGUCUUGUGGUUUUCUAUUUGUUUUGAUCUUAUAUAUGGUUUUGCACUUUAGAUUGUAUGGUUUUUCUUAAGACAUUGUGAUGGUUGGAUUUUUGCUGGCUUAGUAGAUUUUUAUUUA
Zingiber officinale is the source of this 1106-nucleotide long non-coding RNA. RefSeq lists it as uncharacterized. The transcript has 4 exons. Lineage: Eukaryota; Viridiplantae; Streptophyta; Magnoliopsida; Zingiberales; Zingiberaceae. The record is from RefSeq and is a predicted model, not a curated record.